This is a long non-coding RNA of Portunus trituberculatus (swimming crab), 3279 nucleotides long. RefSeq lists it as uncharacterized. The record is from RefSeq and is a predicted model, not a curated record. NCBI's taxonomy places the organism in Eukaryota, Metazoa, Arthropoda, Malacostraca, Decapoda, Portunidae. The transcript is spliced from 2 exons.
CCCUGAACAAAGUGUAAUAAAUUCUUCUGGCCAGAUAUAGCUGAGCUGCCAAUGUCAAAUCCUUCUGCCGUUCCUGUGGUAAAUGCCAGAGAAUGUCAUCAAAAGGAAAAGUGCGACUAGUUCCCUUGAAGCCCUUGCCCAUAAUCACGGAACUCUUCUCGAAGAGUUGCCAGUAACAUAGUAGGACCUGUCACCACCCUCAUGUGAAGAACACCGGUAUAUCCUCACAUUAAUUGAUUUUGCCACCGGAUUUCCAGGUACUUUCUGACCGAGGGACUCGGUUCACUUCACAGCUGAUGGGAGAACUUCAUAAGAUGCUGGGAGUGAAGCCGGUCUUCACCACACCAUAUCCAAGUGGUAACGGUAGAAUUGAAAGAUUUCGAUUUCAUUUCACCCUUAAGGCCUGUCUAAGAAAAAUCUGUUCGGAGAAACCCCGAGAAUGGCAUAGAUACCUUCCUGCCACCCUGUUCGCUUUAAGAGAAUUGCCAAGUGAUAGAACCGGUUUCUCUGCUUUUUAACUCUUCUACGGUAAAGCAGUAAAAGGUCCCCUUCUGGUUUUGAGGGAGUUAUGGGAAAAUAGGAAUUUAAAUGAUGACCGUUCAAGCUUUAAGUACGUGAUUGAGCUGAAGGACAAAUUGGCCGCUCAGGACUCCUGUCGGUGCCAGCCGCUACAAGGCAUACUUCGACCUGAGAUCUUAAGAUCGUAAGUUCAAGCCAGGUGACGAAGUCUUGAUACUACUUCCUGACACCACCAACAAACUACUGAUGUCCUGGUCUGGUCCUUGUCCGGUACUAGAGAGGAGUAGCUGCAACUACUUAAUUGAAGAAAAAGGUAAGCAUCAUGCCAAUCUCCUCAAACGGUACUUUCGAAGAGCUAAUGUCCAGCAAGCUAAUGUCCAGCAAGCUAUUGUCUUGGACGAACCUCUUCCUUUGCAUACCAGCACAGAUUUGCAGUUCUCCUCAGUAAAUGAGGAAAGUGAAAGUCGGCCAGAAUCUUCACCGAUAACUCCCGACGGUCGAGAAGAUCCAGAAGAGACUAUGAUUUCCCAGGAUCCAGAUGUAUAUGAGUCGUUACCUGAGGCUGAGAGGGAUGAAUUAAAGGAAGUCAUUUCCACCUUUAAAGAUGUGUUCUCUGAGAUACCGGGAUGUACUACCACUGUGACACAUGAUAUUGAAAUAAGUUCCACAGAGUGAGUUAAACCCAAGCUCUAUCCUAUUCCAGUUUACUAGAGAUCCCAUUUUGAAGAGGUAAAUCAACUUUUGCAGCAAGGAAUCGUCCAACCUUCCUCAUCCCCUCAUUGUUCACUGGUUGUCAUGGUCAAGAAAACGACUGGUAACUACCGGAUGGCCAUUGACUACCAGGCCCUUAACUCCAUCACUCGUUUCCACGCUGAGCCGAUCAAUACUAUCACCGAGGACCUUCACAAAUUUUUUGGUAGUAAAUAUUUCAGUGAACUUAAUCUCACAAAAGUGUGUAUCAGAUCCCCUUAACUGAUAAAGCUCGUCCAUUCACAGCUUUCCCGACCCAGCAAGAACUUAAGGAAUUCUGUCUUCUCCCAUUUGGACUGGUUACAGCUUGCGCCACCUACAUCAGGCUAAUGAGGGCAGUUCUUUCUGGUUUGCCAAGCGGGUCCUUCUACUUCAACAUAUUCAUUUACGGAGUUACCUAGAUGUCAUUUACGGAGUUACCUAGACAGAACAUCUCGACGCCUUGAUAUCUGUACUUCACCGUCAUCGUGAACACGGCCUUGCAGCUCGUCCUAAGUGUCAGUUUGGACCUAAGUGUCGGUUUGGAUAUGGAUGUAUAAAGUACUUGGGGUUCAUCGUUGAUGGUAAGACAUUACAGCCCCAGUAUGAUAAAGUAACUGCUAUUGGUCAGGCUAAACCCCCAUCUACAAAGUAGCUUCUUCGAUCCGUCUUAGGAAUGCUUUCGUUCUAUAGGAUUUUCAUCCCGCAGGUGUCCUCUUACACCUGCUGCCUGUCAAUCUUCUACGCAAGGGUGUCCCGGAACCCCUAUCAUGGACCGACGAACAUAAGAAAAGCUUCUGAUAUCUCAAGACCUGCCUCCAGUCCGAACCUGUUCAGAAGCUACCUGAUCCCUCUCUUCUCCUUCAGUAUGUUGAUUCUUGUCCUCACCCUGUAUCAUAUGCCAGCAGGAAACUUCUAGACAGAGAACGGAAGUCUUCGACAGUGGAGAAGGAAUGCCUUGCUGUUACUUUUGCUGUUCAACACUACGGCUACACCUGAAAGGAAAAGUUUCUUCUAGAAGUGGAUCGCAAGCUCUAGUGUUUGUGAUCUCUCCAACUUCAAAAGUACCAACGAUUGACUGUUGAGGUGGGCCCUAAUGUUACAGGACUACAGAUUCCGUGUUGUACAUAUUCCUGGGAACGAUAACGUUGGGGCAGAUUUUCUGAGUAGGACUUAAGUUAAUUUAGCUUUCUCUUAUAUUGAUAAUAAGGUAACUGGUUUGGGUAUUUGCUUACCUUGUCUUUUAUCUCGAUACCUGUAUCGAAUCUUGGUGAGGGAGGUGUGUGACGACAAGCCAGUAGGGUUAUUUGCUCAACUACCUAUCUCUCGACCACCCUAUCCUUUUCCUUAUUUUCUUUCCUCGCUCAAUAAGCGUUUCAUUUGUUUCGGUGUUGCCUUCGUUGUUUAUCCAAUUUCGUUACUUCAGAAGCUUCGCUUCGGAAUACCACCUCGAAGUGAGCCCACGCUACUGUUCAUCAUACCUUCGAACGUUCGACUCCUCGGGUAUUUGGCUUCACCGGAGGUGUUGUGUGGUUCCCCGCGACCUACCCAUGCAGACUCAACUGGGCCUUGGUGGAGUUAGCACCUCCACUUCUACUUCUCAGUCUGGUGCCCUGUCUCCCCGUGACAACCUCUACACCGGCCGCUGACGAGGAUUUGUGCCACUCCCCACACAGCCUGGAACAUCUGGACCAACCUUAGUACCAGCCUAGUCCCUCUUCCAGCUGCUCGCGUCCGCCUGGCCCGUAGCUGUCGCCGGCUCCUGUGCGAGUCCUCGUUACACUCUUCGGACUUGGCCUACCUCUUCCCUUCAGCCGCCAGCUUCACCUCCACCCCUUUACAUCACGGACCUGGCCUGACUCCUCUUUGGGCCCUUUCAUCACCUUCUACUUCAACACCCGUUCUACGCAGACUGGCUCCCACUACCAAUCUCUUUCCCUGUGGUCAUCCCAGUGGACUCCGUCUUAAGUAUAACCAGUACUCUGUUUACAUCACCCAAUUGUUUGUUGUCCAGUAUAUUUCGGAACUUGU